UGAGCCGCAGGAGACCUCGCCCUCCUCCCCCCGCCGCCGUCCCUGCCCUCUUCCUCCCUCAUCCCUUCGCACACGCCGGUGCCAUUGUAGCCCUCGCCCUCCUCUAGCCAUCGCCGUCGGCUCGGCCUCCCCGAGGUUGUCAUAUCGGACCGCCAGGAGGUCGGGCCGACGUGUCCACCGACGCCAACCUCCUCACUGGUGGAUCUUCCCGUCAUGGGACGCUAGCCGGUGCCGUCUUUUUCUCCUUUUUCAUCUCUGCGUGUACCACCGGCUCCCUCUCGCCCAGCUGCUUAGUGCAUUGUUUGAUCUAGCCGGGAUUCGUCAGAUCCGAUUGUCUUGAGCAGCGAUCGCCGCUCAUGGAGCUGGUCAGGCCGUGACCAGAUCAAUUAGGAGCACAUGCCGCAGCCACUGCCCUCUUCUCCUCUCCCUCCAUCUAUGGGCUUCCCUUCUCUUGCUGUCCGUCCUCUACAUCUCACACUUCUUCUUGCCACCCUAUGCCAGAUAUGUACAGUUACAUCGGGUGUGUGCGGCAACAGAGUUGAGGCUGGUGAGAGCGACGACUUGGCCAUGACUACGAUGACAGCACUGACCCAUCGCAAUAGCUGUGACAAAGGUAUGAAGCAAGAAUACAUAAAUGGAUUUCUGCAACAUAUUAGCAGAGGGUGUUUAAAAUCACCAAGAUGCCAGUAGAUCUCUAACACCUGCAGGCUGGUUCAUGAAUCUUUCCUAAUCAUAUUUACCAAUUGACUUACUCUUAGGCUAAUCUUGAUAUAUAUUGAACUAAAUCAAUCCAAAUAAAUAUAUUAGUUUUUACUCUUUGCAUAGUCAACAAUUGGUGGACAAGUCCAGAUAUUAUAUAUGGUGAUAUAUUUGUGUUCUUUGGGAGAAGCAGUGAAAUCAGUCAUUGCACACAUGGUUUGGCUUCGCUUCCUUCAGAUCUAUUCAUGCAAUGCCUUUUCACAUAGAAGUACAACAAAAUGGUUAUCAUGCAUUGUAUGGUCCUGAUUGAGGGGGGUUUUUUUUUUUUGCAUCUUUGCCCUUGCCCCAGGCGACUUCUGUCUCUGGUGAGGUUUCAGUAAUUUUUGUUUCAUUGUUCUCAGCCUUAUUCUUAUCUCCUAUCAGGUUUUAUUUAGGCCUAUUGUCUUGCUUUGUGGUUUAGAUGUAUGUUGUUGAUUCACUUGUGAUUCAUCGUCUCUAUUUUAUUAUGCUCAUGCAUUCCUCCUCUGCUGUUUACUGUUACCCAAUACUCAAAAUUAUAAUGAUAUGUUGUUUUCUGGUUCAACGUCAUUACAAUAACUGUUUGUUAAUUCAUUUAGUAUUCAGCUUUGGAAAAAAAAGGAAUAAGAUUAGGCUAUAAAUUACUGCAAUAGUAAGAGUGAUAGUCCUAUAUUUUUGCUAUUUGGUGCUCUUUUCUUCUUUGCAGUUGGUUAGACAUGCAAGAAAUGAUGCUUAAUUCAGUCCAUGACUCUGGAUGUAUAAUGCCAAAAUAAUUGAUAUAUUGGAUUGCUGGUGCUUUUGCUAGAUUAAUUAUAUGUUGUAUGAUCAUGUCCAACAAAUUAAAAUACCAUAGGCACCAUGAUAAUGGUAUUCAAUGCGCCACAAUUCCUAUACUAUUGCGAUAUGCUUGCAACUCAUAUGCAUCAAGCUUCACAAAAGUCGCUGGAUAUCCAUUCUAUUGAACAACUGGUGUUUGCUAAUAAGAUGGAAGGUCAGUGGAUUUAAUGCAUUCAGAAUCGUGGUGUAUUUGUUUAUCUCAGAGAUGUCAAGAUGCUAUACUGGGAAGUAUUGUAAUGAAUUUAAUUAAAAAGAUAUGGAACUUAAAAAGAUUAGGAAUCAUAUGCAUUUAUUGCUUAUGACACAAAUGUUUAGCUGUAACCUGUAACUGAAACUGACAUUUUUCUAUAGUUUGUCCUUGACAGUACUUUAGUAAUUUUGGCAUGCUUACAGAUAGAUCGUUGGAUUGUUUGUUUGGCGACCAAUGACAACAUAUGCAUGUUUUUUUAACAAUACUAACAAAUUGCAAAUUUUGUGCAGCUGAUCUGUGCACGCAUUUGCUCUACUCUACUCUGUUCCAUUAAGCUCAAGGCAUCAGGCACUGCUCCUAUGAUCCCCCUUUCCCCAGAGUAGGUUGUGUAUAUGCAAUGGUUUGUAGAUCUAUUUCAUCCAAUAUGUGUAACAGGAGAGACAUGCUCGGUGGUGGGCUUAAGAUCUGUAUCUAUAGAAUAGAAUGGUUUUUGUCUUUUUGUUUGCCAUAUGAUGUGAAGACGAAUGAUUUACUGCAAACUGAAGUUAUAUACCUAUAUUAACCUUCAUGAACUGCCUUUGAUGAUGCUAUAAAAUAUUAGCAACAUAUCUUGAUGGUCAACUAUUGGGUAA
Molecule: long non-coding RNA, 2376 nt
Organism: Oryza brachyantha (malo sina)
Lineage: Eukaryota; Viridiplantae; Streptophyta; Magnoliopsida; Poales; Poaceae
Exons: 3
Source: RefSeq, a predicted model, not a curated record